Molecule: ribosomal RNA, 2689 nt
Filed under: Salmonella enterica subsp. enterica serovar Enteritidis
Lineage: Bacteria; Pseudomonadati; Pseudomonadota; Gammaproteobacteria; Enterobacterales; Enterobacteriaceae
Description: partial 23S ribosomal RNA
Rfam family: Bacterial large subunit ribosomal RNA
Source: RNAcentral
AAUCCAUAGGUUAAUGAGGCGAACCGGGGGAACUGAAACAUCUAAGUACCCCGAGGAAAAGAAAUCAACCGAGAUUCCCCCAGUAGCGGCGAGCGAACGGGGAGGAGCCCAGAGCCUGAAUCAGCAUGUGUGUUAGUGGAAGCGUCUGGAAAGGCGCGCGAUACAGGGUGACAGCCCCGUACACAAAAGCGCAUGUGCUGUGAGCUCGAUGAGUAGGGCGGGACACGUGGUAUCCUGUCUGAAUAUGGGGGGACCAUCCUCCAAGGCUAAAUACUCCUGACUGACCGAUAGUGAACCAGUACCGUGAGGGAAAGGCGAAAAGAACCCCGGCGAGGGGAGUGAAAAAGAACCUGAAACCGUGUACGUACAAGCAGUGGGAGCACCCUUUGGGUGUGACUGCGUACCUUUUGUAUAAUGGGUCAGCGACUUAUAUUCUGUAGCAAGGUUAACCGAAUAGGGGAGCCGGAGGGAAACCGAGUCUUAAUUGGGCGUUAAGUUGCAGGGUAUAGACCCGAAACCCGGUGAUCUAGCCAUGGGCAGGUUGAAGGUUGGGUAACACUAACUGGAGGACCGAACCGACUAAUGUUGAAAAAUUAGCGGAUGACCUGUGGCUGGGGGUGAAAGGCCAAUCAAACCGGGAGAUAGCUGGUUCUCCCCGAAAGCUAUUUAGGUAGCGCCUCGUGAAUUCAUCUCCGGGGGUAGAGCACUGUUUCGGCUAGGGGGCCAUCCCGGCUUACCAACCCGAUGCAAACUGCGAAUACCGGAGAAUGUUAUCACGGGAGACACACGGCGGGUGCUAACGUCCGUCGUGAAGAGGGAAACAACCCAGACCGCCAGCUAAGGUCCCAAAGUCAUGGUUAAGUGGGAAACGAUGUGGGAAGGCCCAGACAGCCAGGAUGUUGGCUUAGAAGCAGCCAUCAUUUAAAGAAAGCGUAAUAGCUCACUGGUCGAGUCGGCCUGCGCGGAAGAUGUAACGGGGCUAAACCAUGCACCGAAGCUGCGGCAGCGACACUGUGUGUUGUUGGGUAGGGGAGCGUUCUGUAAGCCUGUGAAGGUGUGUCGUGAGGCAUGCUGGAGGUAUCAGAAGUGCGAAUGCUGACAUAAGUAACGAUAAAGCGGGUGAAAAGCCCGCUCGCCGGAAGACCAAGGGUUCCUGUCCAACGUUAAUCGGGGCAGGGUGAGUCGACCCCUAAGGCGAGGCCGAAAGGCGUAGUCGAUGGGAAACGGGUUAAUAUUCCCGUACUUGGUGUUACUGCGAAGGGGGGACGGAGAAGGCUAUGUUGGCCGGGCGACGGUUGUCCCGGUUUAAGCGUGUAGGUGUGUGUUCCAGGUAAAUCCGGUUCACUUUAACACUGAGGCGUGACGACGAGGCACUACGGUGCUGAAGCAACAAAUGCCCUGCUUCCAGGAAAAGCCUCUAAGCAUCAGGUAACAUCAAAUCGUACCCCAAACCGACACAGGUGGUCAGGUAGAGAAUACCAAGGCGCUUGAGAGAACUCGGGUGAAGGAACUAGGCAAAAUGGUGCCGUAACUUCGGGAGAAGGCACGCUGACACGUAGGUGAAGUGAUUUACUCAUGGAGCUGAAGUCAGUCGAAGAUACCAGCUGGCUGCAACUGUUUAUUAAAAACACAGCACUGUGCAAACACGAAAGUGGACGUAUACGGUGUGACGCCUGCCCGGUGCCGGAAGGUUAAUUGAUGGGGUCAGCGCAAGCGAAGCUCCUGAUCGAAGCCCCGGUAAACGGCGGCCGUAACUAUAACGGUCCUAAGGUAGCGAAAUUCCUUGUCGGGUAAGUUCCGACCUGCACGAAUGGCGUAAUGAUGGCCAGGCUGUCUCCACCCGAGACUCAGUGAAAUUGAACUCGCUGUGAAGAUGCAGUGUACCCGCGGCAAGACGGAAAGACCCCGUGAACCUUUACUAUAGCUUGACACUGAACAUUGAGCCUUGAUGUGUAGGAUAGGUGGGAGGCUUUGAAGUGUGGACGCCAGUCUGCAUGGAGCCGACCUUGAAAUACCACCCUUUAAUGUUUGAUGUUCUAACGUGGACCCGUUACCCGGGUUGCGGACAGUGUCUGGUGGGUAGUUUGACUGGGGCGGUCUCCUCCUAAAGAGUAACGGAGGAGCACGAAGGUUGGCUAAUCCUGGUCGGACAUCAGGAGGUUAGUGCAAUGGCAUAAGCCAGCUUGACUGCGAGCGUGACGGCGCGAGCAGGUGCGAAAGCAGGUCAUAGUGAUCCGGUGGUUCUGAAUGGAAGGGCCAUCGCUCAACGGAUAAAAGGUACUCCGGGGAUAACAGGCUGAUACCGCCCAAGAGUUCAUAUCGACGGCGGUGUUUGGCACCUCGAUGUCGGCUCAUCACAUCCUGGGGCUGAAGUAGGUCCCAAGGGUAUGGCUGUUCGCCAUUUAAAGUGGUACGCGAGCUGGGUUUAGAACGUCGUGAGACAGUUCGGUCCCUAUCUGCCGUGGGCGCUGGAGAACUGAGGGGGGCUGCUCCUAGUACGAGAGGACCGGAGUGGACGCAUCACUGGUGUUCGGGUUGUCAUGCCAAUGGCACUGCCCGGUAGCUAAAUGCGGAAGAGAUAAGUGCUGAAAGCAUCUAAGCACGAAACUUGCCCCGAGAUGAGUUCUCCCUGAGACUUAAAGUCUCCUGAAGGAACGUUGAAGACGACGACGUUGAUAGGCCGGGUGUG